UCACCGGCGUGGCAUUUAUAUCGCAAUCACUUGAAAGGUCAACCUCGACGUUGGAACUUAUCACGAAAACAGUUGGUAAAAUCUUAGAGCAAACCUACAUCUUCUGACGUCAUGGGUGACGCAGUACACUUUACCAAGAACAAAUCAUUGAUUAUAAAGGCUGUAGAUAGAUACAAGGAGCUCAGUAAAUCGGACGCGUAUCAACAGAUGUUCCAUGAGAAAGCUGACCCUACCAAACCGGAUGUCGUCAAGGCAAUGGCGGAUAUUCAUAUUCAUUUCACUAAGAAGGCACUAGAGGAUGUUGGGGUGGAGUUGAGUCAAAUUCCCGAUGAUGCGAUGGUAGAUCAUAUUGCAGUCAUGAAUUUCGCAAAUGACCCAGAGGUUAUUGGCAAGCUUAAUGGUAUGAUCGAAGCCCCUGAAAGAUUGAUGCCACAUCUCAAACCCAGAGUCGCACUCGGGGAUAAAGUACCCGAAGAUGUGGAGGUAGUUUCCAUAGAAACAGGCAAACGUAUCCCGCUACUUGAACUACGUAUUAACAAAGAGCGACCACUUUUAAUUAUUGCGUCAUCACUGAGCUGACCCCCCUUAUCGGGCAUUGUACAUGGUGGUGCACUACACGCCCUCUACAUGGAUUAUAAAGAUAAAGCGGAGAUUAUUUUGGUUUAUAUCUUGGAAGCACACUCAACUGAGGGCUGGAAGAUGGGACCAAGAUUUAGUAAGUCGAAACAACCAACCACAAUUGAAGAAAGAAUAGACGGGGCCAGACAAUUGUUGGAUAUUAUCCCUGACACAGUGACCUCUGACCCCUACGAUGCAAGUAAAGUUCGUGUUGUUGUUGACGACAUGGACAACAAAUUUGAUGAUGCGUUCUGGUGUUGGCCAGAUAGAUCUUUAGUAAUUCACGACGAUCGCUAUGUCUUCGCUGGGCGUAAUAUUAUCCAACAAGUGAGGUCACCUGAUAAACUACUGACACACGAUCUUCGUGAAUAUAUGGAAUCACAAAACAAAUAAACAUAAUACACCAUUCCUUCAAGUCGCGCCCUCUAGUGCCAAAAGCGCGUGUAUGACGUCCGUGUGUAUAAGGGAUGCCAUUAAAAACGUCGAUAUUGUUUUGAUCUGUGAUACUUCGUCAAUAAGUUUGUUUAGAGAUUUACUGUAAGUCGAGCGAUGACGCAACUUAAGUAUUGUAAACUACUUUAUUUUUGAACAUAUAGCUUUUUUCUUCUGUUAAGUUCAACCCAUCACGAAUCAGUGAAAACUAAACAUACAUGACACCAAAACAAUUCUUUCGGUGAAAAUUAAUUCAGGCUAUAAUAAAAUAUUUUACAGUACUUGAACGGCACUGCGAUUACACUAAUCAACUACGCAAUUCAGCCCCGCCAAUAAGAAACGCUUCGACGGAGGGCACGACUUAUUAAAAAUGUGUAGAUACGAUAUGUCGUGUAAUUAAUCUAACCAAUCAGCGAUUGUCGCUAGUAUAAACACUAAAAACGCUUUCCAUACUAUGAGUUUAUAUUACAUAUUCGUAGAAAUAUAAUGUAAACACUUAAUAAUCAUUAUAAUAUAUCGAGUGUUUAAUUCAUAUAUCAUUAUAUAAUCAAUAUGUCGACCAACAGUAAAUUAACGUGAUAUUUGAAUACUGUGUCACGUGGUAAUGUACGUCAGUAACACAAUACUAAUAACACUAUUGUGUACAACCAUACAUGCCACUAAUUUGUACCUACAUACGUCUAUGCAGUAUAUUCAUUGAUGUUGGAAUAAUGACGAUUAUUAAGAAAAAAGGCAUUGACUUCUUGUAAUCCGAUAACGAAUCUAAUACUUUGAGGGACACGUCUUUGAAAGAUAUGUUAAACUACUGUGGACGUGUAUAGGUCCUGGACUUUGAUAUAUGGAUUAUAUAUUGAAUUGUUAAAAUUGGAUGUUUCAACAAUAAAAUGAAUUUAUUUCUGAAUUUUAGCUACAAAAUAA
RNAcentral lists this unclassified non-coding RNA (1968 nucleotides) under Saccoglossus kowalevskii. RNAcentral's name for it is "uncharacterized LOC100369234, transcript variant X3". Lineage: Eukaryota; Metazoa; Hemichordata; Enteropneusta; Harrimaniidae. The record is from RNAcentral.